GGAAGGGCAAGUCUUGCACUGCAGGUAAUUUUUCAACAUGUUUGUCAGUUUUUCUCUAAAUUGACAAAGUAAUAAUAGAAGUAAAGUGAUGCCAGAUUUUGCAUCUCUAAUGCAAGAGUUACAGUUACAGAAGUAAACAACCAUCUCAGGAACACUUUUUAGAGCUCUACUUGUCAAUUACUGAAAUGAUUUUGUGACUUUAACUUAAUAAUAAGGAUUGCCUGAGUGGUUGACUCAUUUAAGCAUUUUGAUGGAUGAGAUGAACAGAUUUUAGCUGAGGAAAGGUGCAUAUGAAGCAUUCAGGUUCAGAUUGAUUCACUUGUUUAUCUUGUUUUGCAAGCAACUAUUCAUGAUAGCUAAUGAAAGUUCUUAAAGAGUUCUUCCGCUGUAUUACUUUAACAGGUGGCUACUUUUGGUUUGUGAAAUAGCUUAGCAAUUUAAGAUGUGCUUUAACAAGGAUUAUGUAUGUGCAC
RNAcentral lists this long non-coding RNA (473 nucleotides) under Nicotiana tabacum (common tobacco). RNAcentral describes it as "long non-coding RNA (NTAB_LNC014035)". The record is from RNAcentral. Lineage: Eukaryota; Viridiplantae; Streptophyta; Magnoliopsida; Solanales; Solanaceae.